Molecule: ribosomal RNA, 465 nt
Filed under: uncultured bacterium
Lineage: Bacteria
Description: bacterial SSU rRNA
Rfam family: Bacterial small subunit ribosomal RNA
Source: RNAcentral
UGCCAGACUCCUACGGGAGGCAGCAGUGAGGAAUAUUGGUCAAUGGACGAGAGUCUGAACCAGCCAAGUAGCGUGAAGGAUGACUGCCCUAUGGGUUGUAAACUUCUUUUAUAAAGGAAUAAAACGAGGCACGUGUGCCUUUUUGCAUGUACUUUAUGAAUAAGGAUCGGCUAACUCCGUGCCAGCAGCCGCGGUAAUACGGAGGAUCCGAGCGUUAUCCGGAUUUAUUGGGUUUAAAGGGUGCGUAGGCGGGCUGUUAAGUCAGCGGUAAAAUGUCGGGGCUCAACCCCGGCCUGCCGUUGAAACUGGCGGCCUCGAGUGGGCGAGAAGUAUGCGGAAUGCGUGGUGUAGCGGUGAAAUGCAUAGAUAUCACGCAGAACUCCGAUUGCGAAGGCAGCAUACCGGCGCCCGACUGACGCUGAGGCACGAAAGCGUGGGUAUCGAACAGGAUUAGAUACCCCGGUA